Molecule: ribosomal RNA, 478 nt
Filed under: Vairimorpha ceranae
Lineage: Eukaryota; Fungi; Microsporidia; Nosematidae
Description: SSU rRNA
Rfam family: Microsporidia small subunit ribosomal RNA
Source: RNAcentral
GUAUAUGAGGUGAUUAAUUGGAGGGCAAAUCGAGUGCCAGCAGCCGCGGUAAUACUUGUUCCAAGAGUGUGUAUGAUGAUUGAUGCAGUUAAAAAGUCCGUAGUUUAUUAUUAAGAAGCAAUAUGAGGUGUACUGUAUAGUUGGGAAAGAGAUGAAUUGUGACGUCCCUGACUGGACGAACUGAAGCGAAAGCUGUACACUUGUAUGUAUUUUUUGAACAAGGACGUAAGCUGGAGGAUCGAAGAUGAUUAGAUACCAUUGUAGUUCCAGCAGUAAACUAUGCCGACGAUGUGAUAUGAGAUGUUGUAUUACAUUAUAGAAAUUAGAGUUUUUGGCUCUGGGGAUAGUAUGAUCGCAAGAUUGAAAAUUAAAGAAAUUGACGGAAGAAUACCACAAGGAGUGGAUUGUGCGGCUUAAUUUGGCUCAACGCGAGGUAACUUACCAAUAUUUUAUUGUUCGGCGAGGAUAUGAUCUGAGG